This is a long non-coding RNA of Sinocyclocheilus rhinocerous, 457 nucleotides long. RefSeq lists it as uncharacterized. The record is from RefSeq and is a predicted model, not a curated record. The transcript is spliced from 4 exons. NCBI's taxonomy places the organism in Eukaryota, Metazoa, Chordata, Actinopteri, Cypriniformes, Cyprinidae.
UAAUCAAUGAGGGAGAUGUCGUUGAUGUAAAAUACGAAGAUGAAAGCUCUCCAGCAAUUAUUUUGAAGCUGAGUGAAAAUAAAGACAGGCUGCUGAAACGUCUUCAUCAGGUAGAGUCAGAGAGAAAGAAAAAAGAUGAGGGCAAACUUCCUGACAAAAGACCAAUAAAAAGGAAGGAAAUAUUUAGUCCAGAAAACAGUCCAUCGCCAAGUCCAGAGAAGAGAUGCAAAAGAGUUGACGAACCACAGAAGGACAAACUGUUGUUCCAAAAAAUCCAAGAGAAAGCCAAAGAAAACAACGAACCGAAUGAACUUAGAAGAGAAAUCAAGGCCUUGAAAGCUGAAAAUCAGGAACUAAAGGCACUAAACUUUAAACUACAAAAAGACAUUAUUAACAGAUUUGAGGAGUUGUUGUCAAAUAGAAGCAGAUCUGUUGCACAAACCUGUCCACCACCUGC